GAACCGAGCGGGACACGGCGGCGCACGAAUGCAACGCACCUUCAGCAGCUUCCCUUCUGUGUUUGCUGUGAGCGGCGCUUUGAUGUAACGGUGCAGCCCGGCCCAGCUGUCUCAACCAGUAAAUGGGCUGGAGUUGAGUUUACUGGAUUUCCUUCGCCUGACUGAUAAAUUGUCGCAAGAGUCUGUGACCAGAUCUACAUCCCUAUUUGGCCAAUUGGAAUCAGAGAAUUAAGAGGGAAAAGCUGGUUGGAUCCAUGACACCAGAUAGCUCAUUUCACCUGGCCCAAGAAAGAACCCAGAGGGAGCAAAGUGGACUGGUUCACCAGCAGCAGAAGAUCCAGGCCCAGGAGGGCUCAGACAUGAAGGUGCUCUGUAAACAUUGGACUCGCUUCAGUGGCACACACCUGGGAGCAAUGACAGGCCACCCGCCGCUAGCUGCUCUCCAACCCGCCAGCCUACAUCUUGCUUUCUUCUAAAGGAAUAAGAGACGCGGGGCCUGAUCUAUCCACAGGGGUGGAUUAUAGAGGAGUUUCGUGCAGAGCAGAGGAGGCUAAUGCACUAAUGUACCUUCCUGUGGCAUUUAAAAGAAGCUUGAGUGUGUAACUAUGUGUUGUGGGUUUGUGUGUGUGCAUGUGUGUGUGUUUCAGUCACAUCUCGGAGUCUACUUGUCGUACUAAACAGCCCUGCAGAACUCUUCUGUACAUUAACUGACAAAUUGUCACUUAAUCUGUCUCGCCUUUCUUGAAACGAUGCUUUCAAAUGCUGCCCUGGAAAUCGCCCCUGUGCAGACUCUCGGCUGUAUCAAGCACCCUCUCAUGCUACCUUGGGGGUUCUCCAAAGCCCCUCUUAGUACCCUCAUCACCAAGACUGUACCCUACCUUUACAGCUUCUUUGGUGACAGAAUCAGGACAGCUCCGUCGUCAGCGGCAUCAAAGCGGCAGCGAGAUGGCGAUGGAUUAAUAAGUAAAGAAAAGUGUGACAGAACAAGAGAGGCGCCUUGAUCGCACAGAGGCUGGAAGUCACCUGGGGCCUUCAAGGGAGCAGAGGAAGUUUCCAAACCUGUUUGUUUUGGAGAGUUCCCAUGCAUGAGUGUCUCACCACUCCAGGAACAGCAGGAGCAGAGGAGACGAGGAGGAGGAGGGGAGGAUGGACUGUCGCUUCUGUAGCUGGCACACAGAAGUUUGAAGAGCUAAAGAAGCCAUGUGCUCACGCCUGCGUUCCCCCCAGCACGCCGCUGUUCAUUAUUCCACCAAUCUGUCAGCUCCCACUGCUGAAUCAUCGCGACGACGCAGGAGGAGGGCGCCCAAGCGUCUCGAUGCUGUACAGUGAUUUUUGAUGUUUAAAGAGGUGAAGGGCUCAUUGAUUGUAAGCACAAUUUGAACAACACACAUUGAUAUGCAUGAGAAAAGACUUCAGGCUUUGUGCUCUGGAAUAAAAAUCCAUCAUGGCACUUUGGAUUUUGAAUGUUCUUUAUAUUUUGCCCUUUUGUCUUUUUCCAGACCUGCUCUAAUUCCUAAGUCUCUUCCAUUCUGUUGCUUCUGCUCUCUGUGAUUCAGAGGUGUGCAGCUAAUGAGUAAAAGUGCUCUGUUACUUUGCUAAGUUAGAGUUUUCAAGUAUCUGUGCUUAACUCCACGUUUUCUUACAAAUUUGUUCUCCAAUGUUUGUUCUUGUCUCUUCUUUAAUUAAAAAAUAGGCACUUAA
Long non-coding RNA from Notolabrus celidotus (New Zealand spotty), 1701 nucleotides. RefSeq lists it as uncharacterized. The record is from RefSeq and is a predicted model, not a curated record. Lineage: Eukaryota; Metazoa; Chordata; Actinopteri; Labriformes; Labridae. The transcript has 6 exons.